This 492-nucleotide ribosomal RNA is filed under the name uncultured bacterium. RNAcentral describes it as "partial 16S ribosomal RNA". It matches the Rfam family "Bacterial small subunit ribosomal RNA", at positions 29 to 507 of the family's 1533-position model. The record is from RNAcentral.
AGUGAACGCUGGCGGUAGGCCUAACACAUGCAAGUCGAACGGCAGCACAGUAAGAGCUUGCUCUUACGGGUGGCGAGUGGCGGACGGGUGAGGAAUACAUCGGAAUCUACUUUUUCGUGGGGGAUAACGUAGGGAAACUUACGCUAAUACCGCAUACGACCUACGGGUGAAAGCAGGGGAUCUUCGGACCUUGCGCGAUUGAAUGCGCCGAUGUCGGAUUAGCUAGUUGGCGGGGUAAAGGCCCACCAAGGCGACGAUCCGUAGCUGGUCUGAGAGGAUGAACAGCCACACUGGAACUGAGAAACGGUCCAGACUCCUAAGGGAGGCAGCAGUGGGGAAUAUUGGACAAUGGGCACAAGCCUGAUCCAGCCAUACCGCGUGGGUGAAGAAGGCCUUCGGGUUGUAAAGACCUUUUGUUGGGAAAGAAAAGCAGCAGGUUAAUACCCCGCUGUUCUGACGGUACCCAAAGAAUAAGCACCGGCUAACUUCGUG